GCUGGGGUGGCUCAGUGGUAGAGCACUUGCCUUGCAUGCUCGAGGCCCUGGGUUCGAUUCCUCAGCA
RNAcentral lists this transfer RNA (67 nucleotides) under Dipodomys ordii (Ord's kangaroo rat). It matches the Rfam family "tRNA". From Rfam's summary of the family: Transfer RNA (tRNA) molecules are approximately 80 nucleotides in length. Their secondary structure includes four short double-helical elements and three loops (D, anti-codon, and T loops). Lineage: Eukaryota; Metazoa; Chordata; Mammalia; Rodentia; Heteromyidae. The record is from Rfam by way of RNAcentral.